Molecule: ribosomal RNA, 507 nt
Filed under: uncultured bacterium
Lineage: Bacteria
Description: partial 16S ribosomal RNA
Rfam family: Bacterial small subunit ribosomal RNA
Source: RNAcentral
GACGAACGCUGGCGGCGUGCCUAAUACAUGCAAGUCGAACGCAUUGUCUUUCACCGUAGCUUGCUACACCGAAAGAAAAUGAGUGGCGAACGGGUGAGUAACACUUGGGUAACCUGCCCAUCAGCGGGGGAAAACACUUGGAAACAGGUGCUAAUACCACAUACUUCCAUUUACCGCAUGGUAGAUGGAUGUAAGGGGCUUUUGCGUCAGUGUUGGAUGUACCCGCGGUGCUUUAGCAAGUUGGUGGGGGAAAGGCCUACCAAGGCUGCGAUGCAUAGCCGACCUGGGAGGGUGGUCGGCCCCACUGGGACUGGGACACGGCCCAGGCUCCUACGGGAGGGAGCAGUAGGGGAUCUUCGGCCAUUGACGCAAGGCUGAACGAGCAACGCCGCGGGGGUGAAGAAGGGUUUCGGGUCGGUAAACUCUGUUGUUAGGGAAGAACAAGGAUGGGAGUGGAAAGUGCACCCCUUGACGGUAUCUAACCAGAAAGCCACGGCUAACUACGUG